RNAcentral lists this ribosomal RNA (354 nucleotides) under uncultured Pseudomonas sp. RNAcentral describes it as "bacterial SSU rRNA". It matches the Rfam family "Bacterial small subunit ribosomal RNA", at positions 1028 to 1382 of the family's 1533-position model. The record is from RNAcentral. Lineage: Bacteria; Pseudomonadati; Pseudomonadota; Gammaproteobacteria; Pseudomonadales; Pseudomonadaceae.
UCUGACACAGGUGCUGCAUGGCUGUCGUCUAGCUCGUGUCGUGAGAUGUUGGGUUAAGUCCGUACGAGCGCAACCCUUGUCCUUAGUUACCAGCACGUUAUGGUGGGCACUCUAAGGAGACUGCCGGUGACAAACCGGAGGAAGGUGGGGAUGACGUCAAGUCAUCAUGGCCCUUACGGCCUGGGCUACACACGUGCUACAAUGGUCGGUACAAAGGGUUGCCAAGCCGCGAGGUGGAGCUAAUCCCAUAAAACCGAUCGUAGUCCGGAUCGCAGUCUGCAACUCGACUGCGUGAAGUCGGAAUCGCUAGUAAUCGUGAAUCAGAAUGUCACGGUGAAUACGUUCCCGGGCCUU